GACGAACGCUGGCGGCGUGCUUAACACAUGCAAGUCGAACGGAAAGGCCCUGCUUUUGUGGGGUGCUCGAGUGGCGACCGGGUGAGUAACACGUGAGUAACCUGCCCUUGACUUUGGGAUAACUUCAGGAAACUGGGGCUAAUACCGGAUAGGAGCUCCUGCUGCAUGGUGGGGGUGGGAAAGUUUCGGCGGUUGGGGAUGGACUCGCGUCUUAUCAGCUUGUUGGUGGGGUAGUGGCUUACCAAGGCUUUGACGGGUAGCCGGCCUGGGAGGGUGACCGGCCACAUUGGGCCUGAGAUACGACACAGCCUAGUACGGGAGGCAGCAGUGGGGAAUAUUGCACAAUGGGCGGAAGCCUGAUGCAGCAAAGCAGCGUGCGGGAUGACGGCCUGCGGGUUGUAAACCGCUUUCGCCUGUGACGAAGCGUGAGUGACGGUAAUGGGUAAAGAAGCACCGGCUAACUACGUG
RNAcentral lists this ribosomal RNA (468 nucleotides) under uncultured bacterium. RNAcentral's name for it is "partial 16S ribosomal RNA". It matches the Rfam family "Bacterial small subunit ribosomal RNA", at positions 28 to 507 of the family's 1533-position model. The record is from RNAcentral.